This 394-nucleotide ribosomal RNA is filed under the name uncultured bacterium. RNAcentral's name for it is "bacterial SSU rRNA". It matches the Rfam family "Bacterial small subunit ribosomal RNA", at positions 524 to 916 of the family's 1533-position model. The record is from RNAcentral.
GACAGAGGUGGCGAGCGUUGUUCGGAUUUAUUGGGCGUAAAGCGUACGCAGGCGGUUUGGUAAGUCAGAGGUGAAAGCCCACAGCUUAACUGUGGCACUGCCUUUGAUACUGCCUUUCUAGAGUGCAUGAGGGGGAAGCGGAAUUCCGAGUGUAGAGGUGAAAUUCGUAGAUAUUCGGAGGAACACCGGUGGCGAAGGCGGCUUCCUGGCAUGUAACUGACGCUCAUGUACGAAAGCGUGGGGAGCAAACAGGAUUAGAUACCCUGGUAGUCCACGCCCUAAACGAUGGGCACUAGGUGUGGGAGGUAUCGACCCCUUCCGUGCCGCAGCUAACGCAUUAAGUGCCCCGCCUGGGGAGUACGGCCGCAAGGUUGAAACUUAAAUGAAUUGACGG